UCCACGGUCCCAGGCUCGGCCGGCCAUGCUGGGUUUAGCGGUCACCUUCUUGGGAUCCUCACUUGGGCAAAUCAGCCUCAGUCCAACUGCAUAGGCCCUGGGAACUCUUUGUGGGUGAAGGGAGGCUCAGAUGAGUACCACCCUCCCCGGCUCCCCUUCAGAUGGUGACACGGAAGCUCAGGAGGUGACCAGGCUCCCCCAGAGCCACCCCACAGGGACUCAGACCCCAAGCAGGAGCUGGUGGGGCAGCUGGUCUAUGCCGAGGCCCCAGCGAGUUAGGCCAGCUGCAAGCUCUGCCUCCCCAUCAGAGCAGCUCCGUGUCCUUUUUCCAGCCGGGGAAACUGAGGCAUGGCUCAGGGUAGGAGCUGCCUGCCUGGGAGGUGGCCUGGCCCAGUGCCCGCGCAGGGGCGGGGUCUCUGUGAAUUGCCCCUCAGUCCCCGAAGACCACAAGCCGGUUGGGUGAAAGGCGGCUGCUCCCCGCCCACUUCCCCGCCAACGUGGGCCAGAACAAUAGGCCUUUGUGCCCUGCGUGGGCAGGUUGUCAAGGUGAGCAGCCCUGGCCCGGGGCCCUGGCCGAGGCCUCCACCAAGGCGGGGGCCAGGCAGGGGGUCCGCGGGGGCGGAAGGGAAGCAGAGAGAAGGUGCUGAGGCUCCCGGGCCACACAGCGCCUGGGCCUGGGAGGCCGGCUGGGAGGCGGGGACGCCAGGCCCCUCCACGUGGUCCGGUGCCCCUGCAACUGGAAGGCACCCCAGGAGCUCAGCAGAAUCCCCUGCCCUCCCCACCCUCUCAUACCUGCCCCGCCCUUCCUCAAGGCCCCAACCCAAAGCCCCCAUCUCUGGGAGGCCCCCAGAUUGCGUCAGCUGCAUCAUCACUAGGAAAAUGUCACCCCCUCGCAGGGCCCCCACCGGCUCGAGCCCCCUCAGGAUCAUGAACCCUGCGGAAAGUCACCUGGCCAGGUUGACACCCGUUCGGGCCACAGGAGGAGGAUGUGGGGAGAGACCAAGCCCUGCCCUCCGGCCCCCACCUUCAGCCAACAGUGACAGUGACGGUGACCAGUGGCUGCCUGGUACUGAGCAUCAGCCUGGUGCUGUCAGAGCCUCAUCUUUUCAUCACCCAACCCCUAGAAACAGGAUCUCAUUUUACAGGUGGGGAAACUGAGGCCCAAGAAGGCAACUUGCCAAGGUCCCCCAGCUGAUAAAUGGGUCCCAGCACUGCCAGAGUUCACCGAAGGUCUCUGCUUGCUCAGCCCCGGUAAUCCCUGUGCCUGGAAGGGUAAAUGUCCCCUAAUUUGGGGUUUCUUUCUUUGAGAUUCGGUCUCACUGAGUCAUUCAGGCUGGCCUUGAACUCACUGUGGAGCCCAGGCUGGCCUCAAACUCACAGCAAUCCUUCUGCCUCAGCCUCCCGAGUGCUGCAAUUACAGGCGUGCCACCAUACCCAGUAAAUGCCCCUAACUUACAGAUGAGGACCAAGGCUCUGUGUAGCAAAGUCACAUGGCCAUGGUCACACAGCCAGGAGGUAGGAGCAGGGAUUCAACCCAGCAGCUGGUGCCGAGUGCCAACCUUGUUUCUUCCCGCCCUCACCACAGCCAGGUUCCCAAAUGUCACUCAAACCCAACUGCACUGCCUGAUCCUUCCUCAUCCUCGUCUCCCAUCCCGAUGGAUCCCAGAGUCCCCCACUGUCCUGGUGGCCUUGCCCGACACCGGAAUCUUCGUAUGCGGGGCCUUAGGAAGAGUGCCAUGGGGUGGCCUGCUCGAGCGACAGAGGCUACAGAGAAGGGACGGGUGUACUGAGCCACCUGGCCACUGAGGCCCCCUGGGGAAGGGGCAGUGGGAAGCAAACCGCAGGGACAAACGUCCAAGAGGCACCAUCUGUGCCCAGUGGCCCACAACCAAAGAGGCCCCAAACUCCCAGGGACGCGGUGCAUGCACACGCACACACGUGUGCACACACACACACACAUGCGCGUGUGCAUAUGAUGCGGCCCGACCACCAUCACCACACUAGGAAACGUGCGCGUUCCCACGAAGCGACCCCAACCCCAGACACACCAGAGGCCCAGCCACCCUCGUGGCCCAGAAGCCAAGCAUGCGGGUGUCCAGGGCAGAGGGAGCUGGACACGGCAUCACCGGACAGGAGGGCAGCCGGGCCCAGCCCACCCCGUCCACCCCGCAACUCAACCUCGGAGACACAACCGGGACCAAAGCCUGGAACGCCACAGAAGAACACCCUAGUGUGACCGCGACCGGAGACUCCGGGGCUGACGCUUCCUGGGUCCUGGUCCCCUGGGAGCCCACAGCCACUUACACUCACGCACUUAGUUUGUGCAUUUUUCCACGUUCGAUGUAAACCUCCAUCAGGCAAGAGAAGGACAAAGACGUGCAUGGGAUUAACAAAUGCCUGACCCAGGAACCUGGAAGAGAGGCACAGGUGGGCACAGUCACACAGGAAGCAGGGGUCGCCUGCACUGAGCAGUUUUCUUUCUUAACCCAAGUAAUGGCUGCAUUGAAGCUCAUUUUGUUAUCCUUUUGACUUUAUGGAUGUCUGAAAACCAAACCACAAACAACAGCCACUUCCACAGCCUGCCUGUCUUGCUCCGGAACACACAAUGGCUCCCUACUGCCUCCCGGCUGUGGCCCACCCUCCGGCUCGCCAGCCAAGGUCUCAUCCUGGGCCUCAACCUGUCUUUCCAGCCCAUGUGCUCAUCCCUCCCCGCCGCGAGGCUGGUCCUCUCUCUUCCCCUAACACGCCUCAAACAUUCCCGUCUCCACGCCUGUCCUCCCACCUGGAAUGUCCUCCCCAUGCCUGCCUCCUUGCUCUGCACAGGCACCAUGCCCAGUGCUUGGGGCGAUUAACUCCUGAGAUCUGGGGCCCAGUCGUGGGGAAAUUGGGGCAUUACUUUCAGCCCCAAAUAAAGUCUAUCAUUAGCUCCCAAAGCCACCCAAAUAAACAAGUACAGAGGGGUGCUGCAGCUGGGCAUAGUGAUGUACAUCUGUGACCCCAGCUUUCUGGGAGGCUGAGGCAGGCGGGUUACAAGUUCAAGCUCAGCCUAGACAGUUUAGAGACUUAGCAAGUCUGGGUCCCAAAAUAAAAAAUGAAAAGGCCAUGCAGAUGUAGCUCAGUGUGGAAGCCCUGGGUUCAUUCCUCAGUAUCCCCACACACAAAAUAGUACUAGUGGCCAUUUUCAGGUCAACCUCUUCAUGCCUGGCCAUCCCAUAAACCCCUUCAGAAUAAGAAUUCUGGCUGACUUAAUCUUUAUCAUUCCUAGCGAAUGGGUCUUUAUCAUUCCCAUUUUACAUGGGGGAAAAUAAGACUCAGAAAGGUAAGUGACUUGCUGGAGACAUUCACCAAACACUAACCUGCUCCCAUGAUCCUUUCCUCCUCUGAGGAGCUUCAUAGCAUGAAUGGCCCCUUGUGUGCUCCUGCCUCAGGGACUUUGCACUUGCUGUUCCUGAUGUCUGGAAUGCCCUUCUACCAAGCAUCCCCAUUUCCCACUCUUUCUCCACAUUCUGAUCACAAAAUUCAACUCAGCAUAAUCUCAGACACCCCCCCACUCCCACCCCAUCUUUCUCUAGCACUUAAUUGUAUUGUAUUCUAUUCAGAGAGCUCAGUGAUACCUAAACCUCCUUCACCACAACAUGCACACCCUACCAGCAAGGCUAUGUCCAGAGCUGGCAGAGUAGGUGCUCAGUAAACCACCAACCGCCCCACCCAGGGCGGCACAGCAAGGACACACAGAGAGGGGCUUCACUCUCUGAAUCCUCUGGCUCACCGCCCAGCUGUCCAGGUGUAAGCUGCCCUGGGCUCCUGGGGACAGAAAGCAGGGAUGGCACCACAGCCCGCACAGCCACAGCCCCACCGCAGCCCACUGAGCCGGCGGAGGGGCCCGCAUGCACCCCGGACACAGAGCAAUCCUACAAUGACAGAAUGGGC
Molecule: long non-coding RNA, 3930 nt
Organism: Fukomys damarensis (Damara mole-rat)
Lineage: Eukaryota; Metazoa; Chordata; Mammalia; Rodentia; Bathyergidae
Source: Ensembl